Molecule: long non-coding RNA, 1650 nt
Filed under: Physcomitrium patens
Lineage: Eukaryota; Viridiplantae; Streptophyta; Bryopsida; Funariales; Funariaceae
Description: long non-coding RNA (PPAT_LNC011722)
Source: RNAcentral
GUGAUUUCGAGAGUUUUGUUCCAGAUCUACAAAUGAAAUUUUUUAGACUAAUGAUUAUAGUUGUGUUAAAUACAUGUUGUGAAUUUGAGCUCGAUAUAACGGUUGAAGCGAGAGAUAUUGAGGUUUGAACAGGUCAAGGUCUCAAAAAGUAGAAUUUUAGGUCUAGCGAGGGUUUUUGAGAUUUCAUGUAAUUUACUAGUUCGAUUAGAGUAAAACUUAUGUGAGAGGGUAUUAGACUUAUUUUUCUAUGUCUUUGAGAAAUUUGAAACUAAACGAACGGCAAAAAGAAGAGAAAUUGGCUCUGGAAGUUUGGCAUCAAGAUUGGAGAAGGAGGCUGGCUAACAGCCGAAUAGAUUUUUGAGGUUUUCGUCAAUUUGGUAAUUUCGAUCCUUUUCAAAUUUUUUUUUACUUGUUUUAAACUUGAUUUUUAAUAAGUAUGCAAAUUUUGAAUUGAGAUCAACGGUUUAUUAAUUAGACAUUGAGAUUUAAAUCUGUCAUAGGAAUUAUUAGGAUUUGGAUUAGAGUUUGGCAAGGGUUCGAUUUAGGGUUUGAUUUAGAGUUUAGGGUUUGGAUUAGGAUUUGGUUAGGAUUUGAUUUAGGAUUUGGAUUAGAGUUUGGAUUAGGGUUUAGGGUUUGAUUAGAGUUUGGCUAGGAUUCGAUUUAGGAUUUGGAUUGGGUUUAGAGUUUGGUUAGGAUUUGAUUUAGGGUUUGGAUUAAGAUUUGAUUUAGGAUUUGGAUUAGGGUUUGGAUUAGGGUUUAGAAUUUGGUUAGGAUUUAGGGUUGGAUUAGGAUUUGGAUUAGGAUUUAGGAUUUGGUUAGGAUUUGAUUUAAGAUUUGAAUUAGGAUUUGAAUUAAGGUUUAGGAUUUGGUUAGGAUUUGAUUUAGGAUUUGGAUUAGGAUUUGGUUAGGAUUUGAUUUAAGGUUUGAUUUAGGAUUUAAGAUUUGGAUUAGGAUUUAGGGUUAGAUUAGAGUUUGGAUUAGGAUUUAGAGUUGGAUUAGAGUUUGGUUAUGGUUUGAUUUAAGGUUUGAUUUAGGAUUUAGGGUUUGGAUUAGGGUUUAGGGUUAGAUUAGAGUUUGGAUUAGGAUUUAUAGUUGGAUUAGAGUUUGGAUUAGGAUUUAGGGUUUGAUUUAGGAUUUGAUUUAGGGUUUGGUUUAGGAUUUAGGAUUUGAAAUAGGAUUUGAUUUAGGGUUUAAUUUAAGGUUUGUUAAGGAUUUGAAUUAGGAUUUAGGAUUUAUUAGGAUUUAAGAUUUAAUUAGAUUUUGGUCUAAAGUUUGAGUGAAAUUCAAUAGGAUUUUAAUUAGAAUUAAAUUAAGGUUGAAUUGACAUAUAUUUGAAUAAUAUUUGUGGUCAAUCUAAUAUUUUUUUAAGAAUUUUAUUAUUUGUUUGAAAUUUCUUUGAGUUGUUUGGAAUUUGAUUACCUUUGUUUAUCAUUAUUAUAGUCUAAUUAGAGCAUUGUUAGUAUUCUAUAAGAAUUAGGAUUUUGUUAUCGUAAUUUCUAUUCUUCUUUCUAUAGCAAGGUACCCGGAGCAUUCUUAACCAAGACUUCAUACAUUACAAAACCGUUAACUUUUAUCAAAAGAAAAAAAACCAACUGCAAAUUUAGUCCCGAUCUUCUGACAUCUAAAAAAUCCUAGAAUGCAAUCUAAACC